GCGGGGUGAUGAGAGAAUUCAUACACACCCGAUCGUCCCGCCCUGGAGGCGGUGUACGGCUGAGGGCAGUCUUCAAAGUUCUCUGACCGC
RNAcentral lists this small nucleolar RNA (90 nucleotides) under Chlamydomonas reinhardtii. RNAcentral describes it as "CrCD18a snoRNA". The record is from RNAcentral. Lineage: Eukaryota; Viridiplantae; Chlorophyta; Chlorophyceae; Chlamydomonadales; Chlamydomonadaceae.